ACACUGCAACCGCUCAAAUUAAGUUUAAAGUUUCAGUUUCGAACACUUAUGCUGGCGAGUCUAAGAAUU
This 69-nucleotide small RNA is filed under the name chicken gut metagenome. The record is from RNAcentral.